Molecule: ribosomal RNA, 465 nt
Filed under: Vreelandella stevensii
Lineage: Bacteria; Pseudomonadati; Pseudomonadota; Gammaproteobacteria; Oceanospirillales; Halomonadaceae
Description: partial 16S ribosomal RNA
Rfam family: Bacterial small subunit ribosomal RNA
Source: RNAcentral
CCUACGGGUGGCAGCAGUGGGGAAUAUUGGACAAUGGGGGCAACCCUGAUCCAGCCAUGCCGCGUGUGUGAAGAAGGCCCUCGGGUUGUAAAGCACUUUCAGUGAGGAAGAACGCCUGGUGGUUAAUACCCAUCAGGAAAGACAUCACUCACAGAAGAAGCACCGGCUAACUCCGUGCCAGCAGCCGCGGUAAUACGGAGGGUGCGAGCGUUAAUCGGAAUUACUGGGCGUAAAGCGCGCGUAGGUGGCUUGAUAAGCCGGUUGUGAAAGCCCCGGGCUCAACCUGGGAACGGCAUCCGGAACUGUCAAGCUAGAGUGCAGGAGAGGAAGGUAGGAUUCCCGGUGUAGCGGUGAAAUGCGUAGAGAUCGGGAGGAAUACCAGUGGCGAAGGCGGCCUUCUGGACUGACACUGACACUGAGGUGCGAAAGCGUGGGUAGCAAACAGGAUUAGAUACCCGUGUAGUC